UACGGAGGGAGCUAGCGUUGUUCGGAAUUACUGGGCGUAAAGCGCACGUAGGCGGCUUUGUAAGUUAGAGGUGAAAGCCCGGGGCUCAACCCCGGAAUUGCCUUUAAGACUGCAUCGCUUGAAUCCGGGAGAGGUGAGUGGAAUUCCGAGUGUAGAGGUGAAAUUCGUAGAUAUUGGGAAGAACACCGAUGGCGAAGGCAGCCAUCUGGACCGACACUGACGCUGAGGCGCGAAAGCGUGGGGAGCAAACAGG
This 253-nucleotide ribosomal RNA is filed under the name uncultured bacterium. Its description in RNAcentral is "partial 16S ribosomal RNA". It matches the Rfam family "Bacterial small subunit ribosomal RNA", at positions 524 to 776 of the family's 1533-position model. The record is from RNAcentral.